RNAcentral lists this microRNA (22 nucleotides) under Limulus polyphemus (Atlantic horseshoe crab). RNAcentral's name for it is "Lpo-Mir-277-P12_3p (mature (guide))". Lineage: Eukaryota; Metazoa; Arthropoda; Merostomata; Xiphosura; Limulidae. The record is from RNAcentral.
UAAAUGCAUUCUCUGGGAUGCU